CAAGAAACAAGUCUCUGUUCUUUUAAAUUACUCGGUCUCAUAUUCUUAGCAGAAAAUGAACUAAGGCAGUGUAUAUUUUGCAAACCUGGGUUCGUAAGCUGGGGUUUGUAUCACUACUGUAAUGGUCAUUGACACAUAAGGAAACUGAGGUCUAGAGAAGCUGAAUAACUGGGUUAGUGCCAUGUAACUACUAAGUUACUAAUGUGAGAUUUGAAGACAGAGCUUCCUGAUUCCAUGUGAUUCCAGAGCCCUAUGUUUGUGGUUGAAAGUCUUCACAUACCAAAGGGACCAGCCAGAUAAAGUUCAGGAAUGAAGUAUGUCGGGUCUUCGGAUCUUGGUCUCCAACCAUCACCGUAGUUUGUUUGCGCCUUUGCGGCUCACUCUUAGCCCCAGUGAGCGGGGUGGGGAGAAGAGGUUGCACAUGGGAACCAUGGGAUGGGAGGACAGCACAGAAGAGAGCUCAGGCUCCGUCGUAAGGGGGCAGUUGCUGCAAAGGUCACAAGAAAAUGCUUCCACCUUAAAAACAAAAAUCCAAAGUCCAAACUUUUCUGUAAAAUCUGACUUGGACACAUUUGAUUCUUUUACUAGGAAUUCAAAGGAGUGUCUAGCAAAAUGUGUCUCCACGCCCUUGGCUUGUGUCACUGCUCUAUCUCAGAGCCCCAUACCCCACCCCAGAAAAAAGGCCUAGAGCCUGAGCCUCGGGCAUCUAAAGAAGCCAGGGUUUGAGAUGCAGGGGUCUCUGCAGGAGGAACCAGAGCUUCCCUGAGGGCAGGACUGACUCAGCCUAUGGAGGAAGGAGCAGAAGAGGAUUUGGGAGGAAAGUUAAGCCCGCAUCAGUUUUCCCUCCUUCUCCCUUGGGCAGAAGGGGGCAAGGGUUCUCCUCCAUCGCAUGGGUGUUCUGGGAAGAGGUGGGUGGUGGGGAAAACUUGGAGUUCUUGCUGGUGAGGAGGAAGAGGGCUCUCCCAGCUGAGCUUCUGAAGGCCGCAAGGUGCUGGGGUCUGUGGUCUGGCCUGAACCCAUCUCCCCAACACGGGGUGCAAGGGCCUCAUCCCGCACCCCCAACAACACCACCCUGCAGAAGCUGCCUGGUUCUGCUCUUCCCCACACCCGACCUAGCCCAGGAGAAGGUUCAGCCCACCCACACACCCCCCUUCAGGGCGGCCAUGCUUAGCAACCCAGCCAGUGCCCUGUCUCUGCCCUGGCAAGAUGCUCUCUGGAAACCUCAGAAUGACUGGGCCCGCAGCCCCGCUUCCUCUCCUGACCGCAUCCUGCAGCACACAGCCCGGGCAGGUGCAGGAGGGCACUGCCCAGCGGCCCCUGCAACUGUGACCAGAACCCUCUUGGUGACACAGGCUGGGCAGAGGCGGGUGAGUGAAACACAGACAACCAACUUAGGGGGCCAAGCCUGGGGGGCUCACCCCAGUGCCACAGGGGAAUAGAACCCCCAAAACUGGGGCACACAGUGGGGCUCAGGCCCCGGAGUUACACGAGAAAGGAAGCCCCUCCCCCAGGUCACAAUAGCACCCUCUGGCUUCUAGAUGUUUACAAGUUCCUUUCUCCCUUCACUCUCCCCAGUAACUUCUUUCAUUUUUCCUUUCCCUUCCCUGUUUCUUUCUCUGUCUUCUUCAUCUCCUGGCUCCUUGGGUGCCUACAGGAUUUCAGGGGCCACAGGCCAGUGUCCUCAGGGGUGGGGUAGAUCACUGGCCCCUACUGACACAAGCAUGUGGCUCAUUCUUUGUGGAACCACCAAAGAGUGACAGCAGUGGGCUCCCUAGUCUAGCUCAGUGGCUUUCUGGGUGCCUUGGAGGAAGAGUCCUGAGGGUGGACGUGAUUGUGUGCACUUGUGUGGGGUGGGGAGCGGUGUGGCAGAGUGGCCUGGAGGCUCUCAUCUAGCCUGGGACCUUUCCUUGCUUCCUGUGGCCCUGCUGGUGGAGACUUGAAUCUCCCCUCCUGGGAGGGCAAAAUCUGACCCCUCUCACUGUGAGCCUAAAGCCCCUGCCUACUUCUGUCCCCUCUGGGGGUACCCACCACAAGCCCUCAUGCAUUCUAUGGGUGUUCUCUUGUUUCCAGAGACCCAAAGAGAGUUGGAACUUUAGGGAAGGAGUGAAUUGUGUUAAAAACAAUGGAAAUACAAAGAUAAAAGCUAAAUUCAGAAGCGGGGAGGCAGAGAUUGUCCAGUGGCUGCAGCCAGCCAGCACACCCCCUGGGAAAGCCCACACCUGCUUGGAGUCAGAUGUCUCAGGGUGGAGCCACUGUCUUCUCCCUGGCAGUGGUGUGUGUGGUAGAGAUGUCCCAGGCUCCUGGGAACAGGCUGAAGCUCAGGCCCAGUGGGGGCUGCAGGCCGAAGACAGGUUCCUGGCAACAGAAAGGGGAGGGAAGGAUCUGCCACCAGACAAAGUACAGCACAUUUAAUUAAAUGGUCUAGUUGGCUUCUAUUUGUGAUUCGUGAGUAGGGCAGGAUCCUCUAAAGACUUAGUAAAGGUGCUUAGAUGAGCUGAACAGAAGGGUGGGCUCUGUAGCAGAGGAGGAAGGCAGAAAGAGCCAGAAAGCAAUCAGGAAGCAUCAGGUUACUUGGGUUACUUUCCUGGUAAAGGUUAACUUCCUAAUCGCGCUGGCUGAUACUGGCCUGCUCAGGGAUUCAGCAACCUACCAUCUCCCUCUAUCUCCUGAUUUCUCAAGUCAGGUGAACAAUUUAGCUUUGGUUUGAUGGCACUGAACUUUAGUAUGAGUGGCUCCAUUUACGUUGGUUUGUUGGGCCAAGGACAGAAGCUCAGUCCACAUUCAUUGCCUUCUAUAGUUUUUAUUUAACAUUGUGAAUAACGCUUUCCAAAGGCCUGGCUCACUUGGGGCUUUUCAUCACUUUAUACUUUGUGACGAUAAAUAGCUCAGGUAUGUAAUAUAAGAGAAAAUAUGCAUUUUGAGGCUAGAAAUGUAGCACAGUGGCAGAGCACUUGCCUAGCAUAUGUAUGAGGUCCUGGGUUUGAUCCCCAGCACUGCAAGAUGUGUGUGUGUGUGUUGUGUGUUUUGGAGUCAGAGAGUCUUGGUUUCUUUAUCUGUAAAAUGGGUAUGCUAGGAGCCUCAUAGGACUGCAGCAAGGAUAAUGAAAUCACAGAGAUAGAAUGCUUUUUAGCAUCACUCUUUGCACAUAGUAAGCACCCAAGUGGUUUUUAAAAAAAGAUAUUUUCCCACAUUUUUAGUCUUAAAAAACCUUUUUCUUCUUGCUCACAUUCUAAUCACCAGAUUAGAUAAUAAUAAUAUAUCUUAUUAUAAUUUUAUUUAUGAAUAUAAUAACGCAAUUUUGUCUCGAUAAUUACAUCUUUCAUGGUCCAAACCUGUUCGUCAGUGACCAAGUUUCACUUCCUGUGGUUUUGUGAGUGGGGGCUUCGAAGGGCAACCUCCUUCCACAUGGGGGGCCUGGGCCAUGGCAUAGCUGAGCUCCUCAGAAACGAACAGUGCUUCACAACUCUGACUUCUUUUUUUUUUUUUUUUUCUUUUGGUACCAGGGAUCAAACUCGGGUCCUUGCAGUUGCACAGCAGGCGGCAAAACCACUGAGCUAAAUCCCCGGCAUCUGACUUCUCUUAAGACACACGGCAUGAUGAGAAGGGAGUGUGUUCUGAAGGAAGGAUGCUUUUAAUUGCAGUCAGAUGCUGUCUAGUUCAACUGCAGUGGCCCAUAAACCUGGCCAUGUGUGACCUCCUCCUCAUCCUCUCCUCGCUCGAGCUUGGACCCAGCCGGCACUAUCCCAUUCCUCUGAGACUGGCUCUCGAAGGGCCUCAUUCUGGAGUCCAGGCUGGCCUUGAACUCAUGAUGCUCCUGUCUCACCACCGAGUGCUGCUGGGAUGUACCCAUGUGCCACCAUGCCUAGGCCCCUGGCAUAUUUUUUAAUCAUGUCAGUCCCUUGAAGAAAUCAGGUCAGUUGUCUCAUGAAAUAUCCUAUAUUCUGUGUCUUAUCUGCUUGUGUUCUCCCUCGUGUCAUCAUUUCUCAUGCCCCUAACCCUUUUAUUUCCUGUCACCUGAAUUUGGCACAAAAUGUUUGCCUAGAUUCAAAUUUAUCAUUUUGGGCAAGAAUACUCCGUGGAUGGUGCCAGACGCUUCAUCCUUCCCCUCAUGGAGUCAAGUAACAACCGGUUGUUUCUCUGAAUAGCGACGCUAGUUGAGCUGUUGGUUCCCCUCACCAUCCCACUGUGCCUGCCGGGCGUUACUGGGAAACCCUCUGGGUGCCCUCCUGGGAUUUGCACUACCCAAGCUCCCGGUAGCCUCUCUCCUGGUGGUGAGCAGCCAGCCACUGAUGAUUGUUGCUUGAAUCAAUUACUUUAUUAGAGAUUGUAAAGGUGAUUUUCUAUUUCUUUUAAAAUAUUUUUUACUGUUAAAAAGCAAUAGAAUUCAAGCCAGAUGUGGUGGUGCACAUCUGUAAUCCUAGCAUUCUAGGAGGCUGGGGCAAGCAGAUUGCAAGUUCAAGCACAGCCUGAGCGACUUAGCGAGACCCUGUCUUAAAAAAAGUAAUAACAAAAGGGGCUGGGGAUUUAUCUCAGUACAAAGGCCCUGUGUUCAGUCUCCAGUAAAACACACACACACAAACACACACACAUAUUAAACUUCAUUUAAAAUGGUCACCUUUUUACUGACCUAUCUUCCAAAUUCAGCCCGUGUUAUAAGAAAAUCCCACCAAGACACCCAUAUUGAUUUAUUAUUAUUAUUAUUAUUGUCUUUGUUUUGGUUUUGGUUGUUCUCUGGGAUUGGAUCUAGGGCGUUUAUCCUGAGAUACAACCCCAGCCCUUCUUUAAUUUUUUUUUUUUAAUUUUUGGUACCGGGGAUCGAACUCAGUACAAUUUUUCAUUUUGAAACAGGGUCUCACUAUGUUGCCCAGGCUGCUCUUGAACUCGAGAUCCCCUUGGAGUGCAUGGGUUAGAGGUGUGUGCCACCACACCCAGCUUGAUUAAUUGUGUCAUAAAAGUGACUUCCCUGCUAGUGCAGCGUACCGGGGAGCCCUCAGCAGACCUGCUUAGUCCCUCUCCCUCUCCCAACGCGCUCUGAGAGUGCAGACAGGACGUAUGUAUGGCUCUCUGUGUGGGCUCACAGAGAGACAGGCUCUUAGAUGUCAAAAGCAUUUAGAAGUGUGCCGAUAAAUGUAUUUUACUUGCCCAAGUGAUGUAAGUAAGUUGUUUUCUCCUUGGUCUCCUUUUGAUGAGUUUGUUUAUGAAUUGUCUCUUUUUUUUGGUGGGGAGGGAUUGUUUUGCCUCGGUUGUUUAAUUUAAUUUUUUUUUUUUGGUACUGGGGAUCGAACUCUGGACCUUGCGCUUGCAGGCAGGAGGCUGAACCACUGAGCUAAAUCCCCAGCCCUUGGUUGUUUAAUUUUAAAUUAAUAAGCAUGUGCUUCUAGGCUUUUGGUGGGCAUAUUUCAUAAAAUAUUCUUUAAAAUUUCACAGCAGUGUGUUAGAGAAUUCUCUGGAGGGCAGGCCGGACUCUCACUCCAGAGAGACGGUGUCUCUGUCUGUUCACCGUCUGCCACCUCGUCGACACGCUGGCCAAUCAGUGCCCCCAAUCAGUGAUACACAAGUGACCAGUUCACAGCACAGCACUUUUUAUGCUUUUUAAUUUCAAGAAAAAGACACAGAGAAAGAAAAAACUCAAAGUCUACACAGCACGCAGUUUUAUUUCCCUCUUUUACACCCGUAAAUCCAUAAUUUCCAUCUUCUUUUUGUUGGGAUGGAGACUCAAAUAAUAAGUUGUUUUGUGGCUUUGGGAAUUUACUUCAUUUCUUUACCCCUGUGACUCUGCAUGCUUUCAAGGCCACGAAACAUAGUAACACAAAUUAAAGGUUUGUGGCAUCAAUGAAUUUGAGAAGACAAAUCCAAAACUAUGGUAGGAUUCAAUUCCAUUUAGCAAAUGUUUCUAUCGUUUAUUUUCCUCAUGAUAAUUAUUGUACAUAUAAUGCUUAAGUAGGCCAGAUAAUUUUUUUGUUGUUGUUGGGAUCGAACUCAGGACCUUAUGCUUGUGAGGCAGGUGUGGUGGCACUGAGCCAAAUCCCCGGCAAGGGCCAGAUAAUUUUAAAUACCCCUUAUACCCUAUGACAGAAGUGGCAAACCUAUGACACACAUGUCAUUUGUUUUCUUCUAAGAUAAAAGAUAUUAGCAUAUGAGUUUUUUUCUAAACUAAAACCUCUGUAUUCAGUUUAAUUGCAGUGUUGUCACUUUGUGAAAUAAGUGGGUUUUGGGUUACAGUUUGGGCACUCGCCUCUAGAAGGUUCUCCAUCACUGGCCUGUGAGCCAAAGCAGAUGAGGAUUCUGAGGAACGAGAAACUUAAACUCGGUCACAGGCAGCGAGAGGCAGAGCCGGCUCUCAAACAGUAUCGGCAGCAGAGUUUGUGCCCUUAGCUCCUGCAUGUGGUCACUAACAAGCACUUACUUUCAUUAGGUACCGAGCUACUUUUCAAAGUGCUUUCAGAGUGCAUUUUCACAAGUCCUCAGCAGAUUCAGUCUUUUGAAGGGUCACGUGAUCACACAGGGCAGGAGAUGGGACCCUGAAGGAGGGGGCGGGGAAAGGGGGGUUGUUCAGUUUGAAACACACAUUCAAAGCUGCCUGAGCUGACAGGAAAGAGUCACUGCAGCAUAUUUAUAAAAACAAAAACUCCCAGGCAACUUCAACGUCUAAUAAAGGAAGGAUGGUUUAGUUACACUAUGGUCUAGUCACUGAAUGAAAACUUCGAGAAUGACAGUUAUGACUACAUCGAGGCAUCAAAAGAUGUUUAGAAUGUUUUGCAAAAUAAAGCUGAACACACAGAUGACAGCAAUGUAAAAUGUGAUCGCAGUAGAGAAGGGUCAGAAAGAGGAGGCACAAAAGUGAAAAUUAUUGCAAUUUGGGUGGAGGACCUUGAGUUAUUUUAUUCUUCAUAUUAUGUUUUCUCUCUUUGUGGUUAUAAUUUUAGAAAAGGAGACCCGGAAAGAUUUGGGGCAAGAGUUUAUAUAAAGAACAAGACUUGAUUAAAAAAGAAUUUGUCUGGCCAGACGAGUCGGCUACACUGGUCUAUGACUUUGUGUCCCAGGAUCCCGGAUGGGUGCUGCCUGGGGCUCCCUGCUUGCUUUGCAUCUGCAGGUUGUUUGGGGCAACAGUGAUAUGAACAGAGGGAAAAGGGGACUGUGCCCUUCGCAGACAGUCAUUUUCAGAGCAGAGUGGGCUAGAUGAAUCAGCCCUGUCUAGCACAUCCACCCAGGGCAAACCACAGCCUCUGCCCAGAGCCGGGCAGCCCCAUCUCAAGUCUGCGCUUCAGCUUUGCUGCCUAUUGAAGCCAAGCAGCAUCUUCCCCAGCUCUGCCUCUCGCCAGCUAGGGCUACCAGGUUCCCGGGGAGCAGUGGGGUCAGCACUGCUUCUCCCUAGUCCUGCCCGGCACCCAUGGUGCGCGAACAUACUGUCCACCUCCACCGGGAAAGGGUGCUGGUCUGGGAACAGAAGCAACGUGAUUUCCAUGCAGGGUUAGUGACAGACAGCCGUACCCUGACGCACCCUUAGAUUUAAUAGUGACUAAUGACAAACUGUGAGCCAGGCACCAGCACACCGGUGAGGACUGAGGGGGGGGUUAAGCCUGAAACUAGAAGGCAUGAAUUUUAAACUCCACUCCCACGUGUGUGACCUUGGCAAAUUCUGGACUCUUGGACUUGGUUCCCCUGCCUGCAAAAUGGGAGCAAGAACUUUAGGCAAAUGAUAUAAAUUUUUCAAGACUUUUUUUUUCAAUCUGUAGAACAGGGACAAUAAUAUCAAAAUUUUGUGAAAGUAACAUCUAUAGGGCUGUUGGCUCAGUACCUCUUAUGUAGUAUGAGCUCAAUAAAUAUUAGUCAUUGACUUAACACCUACUUUAGCGGGAUGCUGCAGUGAGACAUGUAUAAGCGGUCUUUAAAAUAAUACACUAAGAUCAUAAAAUAGUUUUCAAGUUGGGCAGAUACCAAAUCUUUAUUUUUUUUUUUGGUACCAGGGAUCAAACUCGGGACCUUGUGCCUGCCCUGCAGGUGGUGGCCCCACCAAAUCUUCUUUAAAAAUGAUAACGCCUAGUGUUUGUGAAGGGUGUGGUGAGCGGGUGCUCUGGAUGAACUUUAAAGCAUGUUGGUAUUUUGGCAGCUGAACAUACUGUUCACACAUUCUACGCAGUUCACCAUCGUAAUAUCACUUCUAGAAAUCUGUCGAGAGAAAAGAAUCAGAAAUGAGCAGUAAGAUUUUUGUACAAGGAUGUUCAUCACUGAAUUGUUUAUAAAUAAAAAAAGCAUAAAGUAUUAGGGGCUUAAAUUUAAAAGAUUACAUUUAUAUCAUAUGCAAUGUAACUUUAAAGACAUGUUUUAGAAUAACACUUAAUAAUGUGAUAAAAUACAUGUCAUUAAGUGAAGAAAACAGGCAACAAAAUAAUGAUUGUAAAUACAGUAGCAGGGCUAUGGGUGGAUGUAGCCCAGUGGUAGAGCCCUUGCCCUGGGUCAGAUCCCUAGUGCACACAUGAAAAGUGCGCCUAUGUACGAAUAUAUAAACAAAUAGCUACUGAAUGUCAACCAUUUGGGAAUAUAAUUGAUUCAGUCUUUGAUCUCAUAGAUGAACCCCAAUUUAUCUGGAGAAAAACAUAUACAUGCGUAUUUUUAUAUAUAGAGAAAAAUAUAGUAUCUUCAUGGUGAAAUAAUAGGUGUUUUUUUUAUAUUUUCCGGUGGUUUCCUUUUUCAAAAAACAAAGAAUCUGGGUGUGGUGGUGAGCACCUGUGGUCCCAGCUACUUGGGAGGCUGAAGCAGGAGGAUGGCUUGAGCCCAGAGUUUGAAGCCACCUCUGCCCUGGAGCGGAACCCCCGUAUUAAAACACCAAAAGAAGGAGAGCGGGCAUGAUUUUAAUAAUCAUGGGGGAGCUCUUGACAUUUUUAAGGGGAGGGAGAGGUCAGGGGACCUGGCACUAUGUGUAGAGGGUGCCCCAGCAGCAAGCUAUCCGAGCCAUGUUGGGCUGAGACUGUCCCCAGGCCUCAGUCUCAUCAGCAAACACAUGAAGCUGAUCAUUCCUGCUUGCCACAGGUCAUGAGAAUCCAGGAAAUCAUGUGCAUGUGCUUUUUAAAAUACACAAUGUGCUACACACUAAUAUUAGGUUCAGCAGGUGGCUUCCCACCUCUGGCCCUCCGCAUCGUCAUUCUUAGAAUGGACAAAAUGAGCUUCCAGUUCUGAAGCCCAGUGACUUAACGUAAGUUCGAAUCUCAGAAGGUUCGAUUACAAACUCAGUGUGUACUCUCUGAUUUUGCAGAUAAUGGAGGGGAAGAAGGAUCUUACAUCUCUGCCUUCUUCUCCUCCAGUUACCGAGCAUUUCCUGGGCUCCUCGCCACUGGUGCCACUGGCGCCAUUUGGGGGUGGGGCUGGGGGAGCUCUAACAUGCAAGAUGUCCUCACAGUGUCCAGGGUCCUCGCUCAGCCCCUGGAUGGACUGGGUGGGUGGACUGAGUCACAUCCCCAUCACCCAGCCGUGCCAGCCUUCUGAACUCCCCAAAUCACUCAUCAGCCUGCAGGGGCCCUGGUUCCCACACUGUGCCCUGAGAACAGACCCAGGGGUCGAGGGAAGUGAGGAGAAAGCUCAGAAUUAGUCACAAGAAGCGAGACAGCCACAGAGCCCGUGUGCCAGCCUGUGCCCAGAGGCUGACCUUUCGGAACCUCCUGAGGCUCUCCCCAACACCUCUCCAAAGCUAUGACAUGGGGAGGGGACGCCUUGGCCCCUGAACACCAGCACAGAGCGCAGCACGGCGCGUGGGCUUCUAAUCUAAAGCACCCGCUGCUGACAAAGUGCUUUCAAGAACAUGAACAUUUCCUUUGAUCUGUGAGGCAGCCUGAGCAGAUACUAUCAGCUCCAUUGUUCAGAUGGAGCCAGGGAGGCUGAAGCUCAGGGGACCGAGGUGGGGGUGGACUUCAUCGUGAGGAGCAGGAGCCAGGACCAGGAUCUGACUUUAGCACCCGGGCUUUGGCAGCUUUGAUUUUUGUCAACUGCCCUUUAAAAAUGCUUGUAGAGGGCCGGAGAUUUAGCUCAGUGGUUUCACCACCUGGUGCGCAAGCACAAGGACCC
This 10059-nucleotide long non-coding RNA is filed under the name Heterocephalus glaber (naked mole-rat). RNAcentral's name for it is "lncRNA (ENSHGLG00100040383.1)". The stretch from base 2926 to 2999 matches the Rfam family "tRNA". Lineage: Eukaryota; Metazoa; Chordata; Mammalia; Rodentia; Bathyergidae. The record is from RNAcentral.